RNAcentral lists this small RNA (123 nucleotides) under Podarcis lilfordi (Lilford's wall lizard). RNAcentral describes it as "U2 spliceosomal RNA". It matches the Rfam family "U2 spliceosomal RNA", at positions 1 to 124 of the family's 192-position model. From Rfam's summary of the family: U2 is a small nuclear RNA (snRNA) component of the spliceosome (involved in pre-mRNA splicing). Complementary binding between U2 snRNA (in an area lying towards the 5' end but 3' to hairpin I) and the branchpoint sequence (BPS) of the intron results the bulging out of an unpaired adenosine, on the BPS, which initiates a nucleophilic attack at the intronic 5' splice site, thus starting the first of two transesterification reactions that mediate splicing. The record is from Rfam by way of RNAcentral. Lineage: Eukaryota; Metazoa; Chordata; Lepidosauria; Squamata; Lacertidae.
CUCGCUUCUCGGCCUUUUGGCUAAGAUCAUGUGUAGUAUCUGUUCUUAUCAGUUUAAUAUCUGAUAUGUCCUCUAUUUGAGGACUAUAUAUUAAAUGGAUUUUUGGAGCUGGAGCAAAGCUAC